AGGUGCUGCAUGGCUGUCGUCAGCUCGUGUCGUGAGAUGUUGGGUUAAGUCCCGCAACGAGCGCAACCCUUGUCAUUAGUUGCCAUCAUUUGGUUGGGCACUCUAGCGAGACUGCCGGUAAUAAACCGGAGGAAGGUGGGGAUGACGUCAAGUCCUCAUGGCCCUUAUAGGUGGGGCUACACACGUCAUACAAUGGAUGGUACAAAGGGUCGCCAACCCGCGAGGGGGAGCCAAUCCCAUAAAGCCAUUCGUAGUCCGGAUCGCAGUCUGCAACUCGACUGCGUGAAGUCGGAAUCGCUAGUAAUCGUGGAUCAGAAUGUCACGGUGAAUACGUUCCCGGGUCUU
Molecule: ribosomal RNA, 345 nt
Filed under: uncultured Lampropedia sp.
Lineage: Bacteria; Pseudomonadati; Pseudomonadota; Betaproteobacteria; Burkholderiales; Comamonadaceae
Description: bacterial SSU rRNA
Rfam family: Bacterial small subunit ribosomal RNA
Source: RNAcentral